Non-coding RNA from Pelobates cultripes (western spadefoot toad), 4750 nucleotides. The record is from the annotation of a GenBank genome assembly. Lineage: Eukaryota; Metazoa; Chordata; Amphibia; Anura; Pelobatidae.
GGAACACGUGUUGUGUUCUGAAAAGUUGUGCAAACGUGUACAAUUGGUGGAUACUAUAUAUUCCAUAAUAAAAACAUUCAUAUUUUAUGAAUGUAUAAAACAAAUUCCACAAAAAAAGGAACCAAUAAUCGCCCUGCUUGAAGUCACUUCUAUGUUUGAUACAACUGUAAAAGCUGUUUUUGUGAAAGGCUUAGAGGAAGUUUAAAGUGUUUAGAAUGCUGGUGGGAAAUCACUUCUGAAAUAAUUUUUUUUUUUUUGUGUGUGUGAGAAGGAUACAGCAAUGCACUUGUCAAACCAUAUAAACACUAUAUAUGCUGUAAACUGUAACUCCCAUCAGUCUCUGGAAGGCUGACAACAAUUAGAGCUAUAAUACACAGCAUCAUGGGAGGUUGCUAGGCACAUACGAAGUUUAACCCCUUUGGUGUAAGUCCACAUCCGGCAUCGUGAUUGCGGCUUCAUUAGUCAGUCUGAAAGACGUCCCAACUGGCUAAUAUUAAUUGUGCUCAUAUUUCUAUGAACAGAAUAUAGUUUGUUGUCUGACAGCAGUCAUCUGACGCUCUUAAACAAUGAAUGGCUGGCAGGACUGGCAUUUGGAUAUUAUAAUAGCCAGUAAGAGAGGGCCCUCGUCAUGCUUGGCAAAACUAGGUGUGAGAGCAAAAACGCUUUGCCCCAUUAACAGGAAACAGGGCCAGGGUACUCCUCGGAUAAUAACCACUACAUCUGGCUAUUGUGUUUAUGGUGCUUAGGUUAUUAACGAGGAACAGUCACUUCCAAGGGUUUUUAAUAAGAUCUCUACUUAUGCCCCGUUAUUUAACAAAAUAUGUGUUUGUGAGGACUGGAACCGAAAAUUGAAUGUAGAAAUCUAUACAGCUGCAUUUAGCUCUAUCCUGGAAAUGAGUGCUUCCCUGCCAAUCAUUGUUAUCAGCUCUGUCCUUUUCAGUCACGGAACAUAGCAUGUGGAGGAAGAGAAACAGAAACAAUGUGGAAUAUGUAUGGGGAAUAAAUACAAUUAAAACAAUGGGAGAUAUUUUGUAUUCUGUUAAAAAAAAAAUUGGUGGAAUUAACUCUGCUCCACAACAUUUACAUUCUAUAUUUUGGUAUAUUUGUGCAGCGUAAGUGAGCAGUAAGUUGAUGCUUUUAUGAGAAAUUAAAGGAGCACUAUAGGGUCAGGAACUCAAACAUGUAUUCCUGACCCUAUAGGGUUAAAACCAUUAUCUAGCCCACUUGACCCCCUUUGCCUCCCUAAAUAUAGUAAAAUCUUACUUGUAUUAAAGUCUGAAGCUGCUGCCUCUGCCUGUGAACUUCCUCUGACCUCUGACAUCAUCAGAAGUGGUGGCCUGAUCCAAUCACAAUGCUUCCCCAUAGGAUUGGCUGAGACUGACAAGGAGGCAGAUCAGGGGCAGAGCCAGCACAAUUCAAACACAGCCCUGGCCAAUCAGCAGGAUCUCUAACCAUCUAAGGAGUGGUCAGUGAAGUUAUCACUAGGCUGUAAUGUAAACACUGCCUUUUCUCUGAAAAGACAGUGUUUACAGCAAAAAGCCUGAAGGUAAUGAUUCUACUUACCAGAACAAAUUCAAUACGCUGUAGUUGUUCUGGUGACUAUACUGUCCCUUUAAAUGACCACUCUAAGAAUUAUAGUCACUUCAUAUAAUUUAUUAUUUUCUUUCCUAAUAAGACUUUGAACUCUAGAGCUUAUUCUCUAUACAGUGAACAGUAGUGAAUUAAAAAUGCAGUUAUAUUUCUCAUAUAGCAUCUUUUAAAAAACUAUUUGUUUGAUAUUCCUGAAUAACGUAUUUACACCUGCAACCCUUGGCAGUUAACGAGUGAUUGGCAAAUGAAGUUGCAGGGAGGCUGAUUCUCAUAAUCACUUCUCAUUAGCAUAAUCAUUUCACCUUUCCUGCACAAGUAUAUGACAUAAUUAGGUUCUUACAUAAUUAUACUGUUUCUCUACUGAUCUGCAAUUUUGCUGUGGUGCCUCUAAGCCAUGAAAUGUAACAGACAUUAAAUUACUAUUUAAAGGAAUGUUUGCAUGGGUUGGUUAUAGUACAGUUUAUAGACUUAAAUAUAUGAUACUCAAUUUCUAUGUGUGUGGUUUUUUUUUUUAAUUAAGGAUCCUACCCUUACAUUGUGUGUUUUUUUUUUAUUUAUUUUUUAUUGUGGUACAUUAUCCAUGGGAUCCAAAUAAGUUUGGUUAAUCACGUUAUCACAUGCAAACCAAAAUAAGGCAUCUUCAACUCCAAGGUUCAAGAUGACCCAGAAAUAAAUUGCAAAUAACUAGAUCCCAACAGGGAAAGAAAGAAGUAUCGCCUCAAUCAGAAUAAAAUUUGCAGAGCACUUUAUUGAUUUGUAAUAAAAUCUGUCAUAGAGGGGGGGAGGGGGAUGAGAUAGGAUAGAGGAUGCUUGCACAUUUUGAGCCAUUAUGAGAAUGCUUACUCAUUUUGGGCCAUACAGGCAUUACCCCCAACAAUUAUAAUAGUCAUUCCACUAGCAUGCAUAUCAGAUAAUUAUAGAAUUCAGUACAGCAUAAAAAAGCAGUACAGCGUUCGUAGCUGUUAUUUAAAGUUUUUUUUUUUUCUAAACUUCUUCAUUGCCUAAAUUGUAUAUAGAUGGUUUUAUUUUCAUCUUGCAAAAUAAAGUGAAUAUGCAAAGGAUUAGAUACCUUAUUUUAUAAUUAAGAAUUAAAAUUCAGAGUCCAGAGAAACUAUUUCUCUAAUAAAGCUUAUUUAUGUCCCCUAGCCAUCAUCCCUCAUCUCACAAAGAGAGUUAAGCACAACAGUGCAGGGAUUAGCUCAUUAGCUUCCAGUUAUCAUAAUCGGACAAGGAGACAUGGCGAGAGGCUUACCGCAGGCUCCAGGUAAGAAGUCAAACUAUUCUAAAAUGGUUUGAUGACUUACAAAGGUGGGAAGCGGGCAUCAUGGCUCUCCUGGUAGGAUGCUUUGAGUCUUACUUUAAAGAAGUAAGAUUGCACUAAACUUAAAUUAUGCUGUAAAAUAUUAAUAAAGUAUAUGAAAUGUUUCACGUAAGACAGGUACAGAAUAUAAAAUUGCAAUUAAAUCAUUCUGUUCUAACCUGAUGUAAAACAUUUACAUUUUCAGUGCUAAAAAGAUAUCACAGUUCAUUGUUCACCCCUUUAACAAUUAGGAUUGUGUUUCUUAUAAAGUCUAUUACCAUUUACUGUCAACAUUAGUUUAGAAUUCUCUGCAAUUUCUGUUAAAAGGCAAUCCACCUUAAUAUCAGAUAAUGUGCCAUAACAAUCAUGAUAUCAUUGGUGUUGCCUAACCCCUUCAUGGGAUUAAUAGUGGGAUUAAUACAAUUUUAUUUUAGUGUACUAUUUUGUUUUUAUUACUUCUAAUUAUAAUCAUUAUUAACUUUGGUUUAUAAAGUUUACUUCUGAGACAUUUUCUCUAAAAAAGAUCAAACUGAUAUAUUUAAUUGAAACCUAACCGCUAAACAGCAACUUAUGGAAACAUGAAAUCCCACUUUAACUGACAUUUAGACAAGGAUUUGUAAGUACCGUUUAAAGUCACUGCAACUCACAAGAUUAUUGAGCAAUGUUUAAAUUGUUUUGAAUUUCUAUUUUUCAUACAAAAUGGUCAAAUUGAAAAAGUCAACUUUGUUUUCUGUUUGGAUAUUUUGACCUGCAAUUUGAAAUUUACUUUGAAUUCCCAAUAAUUCAUACUUUGAUGACUUCCCCUGAGUUUGCUUUUUGCAUACACCCCUAAUGUAUAUCUUAUUUGUUUGCUAACCCAUUCAAUGAGAGGCAUCAGACAUUUUUUUUUUUUGGCUUAUAUUUGCUUAACCCCAUAUUGACCCCAAAACUUGGGUGCAUUAGUAAGCUCUCCUUUCUGUAUUCAAGAAUAUUUUAAACGAUGACUGGUGAAUAGCAAAACAGAUUUUAUUUUUUAAACUAUUACUAUUCUUUACAUAUAUGCAUGAUCCGGUUACCACUGGAAAAGCAAAUAAUGUAUACGUAAGUGAAACAAUUUUCUUCUUGAUGUUGUGCAGGUGUGACUAGCCCCCCAAAAGAAGACAAUGCAAUCCUAGUAAAUGCCAAUCACUUUCUUUGCUUCAAGAAACCUCAGAUUCCAUAAUGAUUCAUACAAACGUUAAGAGCAGUAUGUAGAAGAUGAAAACAUUUCUUACAAUAUGAUCAGACCCUGUUGGUGUGUUUAUGUAAAUAUUUCCACAGAUGUACCUGAUGGCAUCCGAGUAUUGACUCAUUUAUCCUGGGAUGUACACUGAAUAUAAAAAUCAAGUUUUGUACAAAUAUCAGGAAAGUAACAUAUUUGGUUAAGAGCUGUAAGCUCACCAAAUGAUGGUUAUCAUGUGAUCUGUUCUUGUCUAGAGUCUAGACCAUAGAAUUUUAAAUUUCAAUCCUUUGUACCUGACUGUGCAGGCUUUGCAAUGUACUUCUAUGAUUACAUGCCAAAUGGCUUGAAAAUGGACCUCAUGUGAGGAUAUAAAAAACAAGUCCUGUUCUGUUGGAUGGUCUUACAAAAGUAUGUAAUCAAUUCACCAUCACCAAGACAUUCUUAAGCAGACUCUCUUAUUGUGUGUUGCAGAUUCUUGAUUAACAUUGCGUUAAGUAAAAAAGGAAUGCUCCAAAUGUACUAUUUAUUUAUAAAAAAAAAAAUGUGUAAGCACUUUUUUUAAGCAAAUGUCUGUUUUGUUAUAUAUACUUUAAAUGUUGUGCAUUGUAAAAUGUCUUAUUUGUUGUAAUUAAAUAAAGUUACCUUGAGUGGAAGUGCUG